GGUUGUGAUCGUCGCCAUUCGGACAUCUUGGGCUUCUCAUUCCACCGGGCGGAGACGACCUGCAAAUUCCCGCACACUCCAUCUCUCACACUUAACACGAGAAUCCCUAUAGCAACCAUCGUCGUGCGAUAGGAGCUUGUCCUUUCUGGAAAAGCAGCAUCAACAUUAAUCUUGAUCGUCUCCCACGGUGGAGGUUUCCAAACCGCUUCCUCGAGCUGAAAUGUCUCCUCCCCAUGUAAUAUCCGGUUACGACGAUCCUAUAUCCGCCAGCACACUACCACUGCCACCAAGAGCGAUGCGAUGAAAGUCGAAAUCCUAGUCAUGUACAAGAAGUGCAUGCACAACCACAAAGCACCCGACAUAACAAACAACCAGACAAUAGAUUGAUUUACAAACUAAUAUAUCAAGGUCACAAGCAAUGCACAAAUCCUGCACUAAUGAACUUGGCACAAAAUUAACACAUUCAUCGACAAUAAACCGACCAAAUGCCAUUUAUGAUUAUAAUGAAACUCGCUCAAAAGGGGGUCUAAUUAAUUUCUAGAGCUCGCUCAAAUGUUUCAUCAUAAAGAAAUCUAAAAGCACGAUCAAAUUGCACGUUCCAAUUGCACAAACUGUGCACUAAUAAUCAACUUGACACAAAAAAUAAAUUGAAAAUAGCAAAUAUUGUCCUGAAAAGCUGUCUUUGCACCAAUCAACUAGGUUUUUUUUUUUUUUUUUUUUAAAUUACAGGAAUUAGAUUACGCGUAAAAUCAACUGCGCUCUCAACACUCACCAUUUCACUGUCUACAUAAACUCCCCACUCCGUCGUUUCAUUCCAACGCACCAUCUAAAAAAACACAUUCUGCAGUCAAAAAAGAAAAGAAAAACUUUCUGCAUUCUUGAAAAGAAAUGGGGACUGACAAUGCAUUGAAAGUGAAAGUGCUAGUCAUGUACAAAGAGUGUAUACUCAACCAUGCAGCCUCCAACAGAGGAUCCCG
RNAcentral lists this long non-coding RNA (977 nucleotides) under Erythranthe guttata (spotted monkey flower). RNAcentral's name for it is "long non-coding RNA (EGUT_LNC002603)". The record is from RNAcentral. Lineage: Eukaryota; Viridiplantae; Streptophyta; Magnoliopsida; Lamiales; Phrymaceae.